This 372-nucleotide ribosomal RNA is filed under the name uncultured organism. RNAcentral describes it as "partial 16S ribosomal RNA". It matches the Rfam family "Bacterial small subunit ribosomal RNA", at positions 527 to 896 of the family's 1533-position model. The record is from RNAcentral.
GGAGGGUGCGAGCGUUAAUCGGAAUUACUGGGCGUAAAGCGCGCGUAGGCGGCCUGAUCAGUCGGAUGUGAAAGCCCUGGGGCUUAACCUGGGAAUUGCACUCGAUACUGUCAGGCUAGAGUAUGGGAGAGGGAAGUGGGAUUUCCGGUGUAGCGGUGAAAUGCGCAGAUAUCGGAAGGAACACCAGUGGCGAAGGCGACUUCCUGGCCCAAUACUGACGCUCAGGUGCGAAAGCGUGGGUAGCGAACAGGAUUAGAUACCCUGGUAGUCCACGCCGUAAACGAUGAGAACUAGAUGCCGGGAGGAUUUACCUCUCGGUGUCGCAGCUAACGCGUUAAGUUCUCCGCCUGGGGAGUACGCCGGCAAACGGUA